AAAUUUAACACUGGAUAGGGAUUGAAAUGGGUGUAAAAAUUUUUUACACCCAUUUCAAUCCCUAUCCAGUGUUAAAU
Molecule: microRNA precursor, 77 nt
Filed under: Phlebotomus papatasi
Lineage: Eukaryota; Metazoa; Arthropoda; Insecta; Diptera; Psychodidae
Source: RNAcentral